Molecule: long non-coding RNA, 2590 nt
Organism: Harpia harpyja (harpy eagle)
Lineage: Eukaryota; Metazoa; Chordata; Aves; Accipitriformes; Accipitridae
Exons: 3
Source: RefSeq, a predicted model, not a curated record
GAGCGGCGGUUCCGGGCGGGCGGGGAAACGGCCGGCGGGGGUCCGGGCCGGGGCCGGGUUUUUGGGGUCCCCCGCCCCAAGCCUGCGGCCGGGCAGCGGCGGCGGAGCCCCGGCCGAGGCGGCUGGCAGGCCCUGGCCGGCCCUCGCUGGGGUCGAACAGCGCUUCCCCCCCCCCAAAAAAACCCGCGAGCGGUGGGCUUACUGGGCAGGAUCGGACUGAGUUUGUGGGUUAGCACGGCAGCAUCUUUUUGUUUUGGUUGGGCGGGUGGGGUUUUUUUGUUUUUAAAAAAGGAUUUAUUUAGGAAUUCAGUACCCUGAAGUAACGGCAGCUUGUGCGGAGAGGGGAACCACGGGGAGCACCUGUCCACCCAGCAGCCGUGGCUGACCGAGGGGCCUUUUGCCUCCCGCUCCUUUGCAGUAUUUGACAAAUUGUUUAAAUGCCAUUCUUUUUUUGUACCAUGUGACUGAAUAACAGUUACGUAAAACAAAAAUGACUAUUCCCCUUUUCCCAAAAUAUAAAAUUAAGUUUAACAUACGUGUCAGAGGACUAAGCAGUACCAGUCUGGAGCUAUCUUACACUUAAAAUAUAAAGAUACAGCGGUCUACAGUCUUCUGUCUAAACUUACAAAGAUAUACCUGGCAUCUUGGAUGCUGACCAAAAUCAAAAGGAUUUUCUUCUGCCUCUUUAGUUGGAUUGAAUAGCUAAAUAAUUGUGGAGACACAAAUAAAAAAGGUGUUCCUGUUCUGACAGCUGCUAAAACGUCUAGCUUUGCUGUUGCGUGAACGACAGUGACCCGUAGCACAUUAAACUGGACGUGGACAGACAUUCAUAAGCCAUUUGCUGCAGAUCAGCAAGAGACUUCUCCUAAGCUGAGGCGUCACUUUUGUGCUCCUAGGUUCUCGGGAAUAUGAAAUGGCAUACAGUGGCUUGAACCACUGUGAUGAGCGCUAAUACCACUUUCCUCAGCUGAAACUGCACAAAACGUUUUUGGUUUUGUUUUUUUUUUGAUUAGCAGUUAACUGAAGUGCUUGAAAUAAGGCCUAUCAGAAGCAGUAGGCCAGCUGAAAGCAGUAGGACACUGUACAGCCUGUGGAAAGCAGGACUGCAGCGCUGUUGGAAGAUCCAGCUGGUGAAAAACAUCUAACCCCUAAUGCGGUGAAGCUUGCGACUAAUACUCCCUUAAACCACGUGCUGCCUGCUGAAACAUCAGGCCUUGAGUAUUUCAGGCUGCUGCUUCAUAACCACAUUCUCGGGCAGACCACCAGGCCUGAUCUGCUUGUUUGGACCCUGUACAAAAGAUGGAGAUGGGAAAUCCUCAUUGCCCGGGAGGAUGAACGUCAGUUCUUUGCAAAUAUCAUCCCAGAAUAGCAGCCAGAGCUGCAGAAACAAGACCAUCAGAACUCGCCCAGCACCUUGCAGUGGAUGUUGUCCAGACUGGAGAGGUGGAUCAAGCAGUACCGUACCACACGGGGAUUGUACAUGGAGGAAAAGUAAGAUGGCUUCUGCAUGUAAGGCCUUACACAGGUGAUAGUGAUUUGUGUACUGAGGUACUACUGUCAACUGCAAGUGAGAGGACAGUGAGUAGGUUGCACUCAAUGAAGUGAAGGUUUGCGGUACAGCUUUGAACUACAUGUUUCAGAAGGAUGUUUGGCCCUGACCUAAUGCAAAAUAGACCCCCCAAGUCAGAGGUGAGGAGCCUCAGCACUAGACAUUUCGGUCUGCUGCUCUGUUUGAGUUGCACCAAAUUAAUUACUAGCAUAGAUGGUCCCACCACCUUUGGAAUUCCAGAACUUCCUGGACUGUGGCAUCUUUCUAGUAAACGUGGAGAUUGAAGACCUUACUACAAAUCUAUCUGGAAGCACAGGGAUGAGGGAUAGUGCAAGUCUGAGGGGAAAAAAAAGCCCGUGUUCUCACUAUAGGGAUCAUUCUGAGAGAGAGGAGGCUAGCUGCAGCCACCAUUUUAUCACUUGGUAUUUGCUCACUGUGACUCUAAAACAAUGGAGAACAUGCAGGUAAAUGGUGCAGCUGGGCAGUGCAGGAUGCACUGCUGCGUGAAAAUGCAGCUGAAGACCACCAAAAUAAUUUGGAGCAGAUUGGAUAACACAAAUAUUACUGUGACUACUGAUUCCAACAGGAGUGAAAAUGUCAGAGGUGUUCAGCUGUGUUCAAGGAUUGUGUUGAUAUGGUCUGAUUUACAGCAGAAAUAGGUCUUUGGAGGAAUGUGCCUUUGCAGUGUAAGAAUUGUACUUCCAGCUUCUGUUUUCUAUACUUUGACUGCACAAUAAAUCGUUUUUUUCUUAGGUGGCUUAAUAUUCUUGAUAACUACCAGUUGCUAUGGAGUUACGUGAGCCUUUUCUGCCUGUUUAUUAGUCAGCUGCGAAUACUUACCCUUAAAAUCUUGUGCAAAAACAGCAACCCAAAAGACCAACAUGCAGAGAUGAAAAUGGUAUGUUUCUUGGACAUUUUUGUAAGACUUCUAUCCAUUUUUUUAAUGACUAAUGGUUCAGGCAUGCAAUGGAGUUCUGGAGAGUUAGUUACUGAAUACCAACCAAACUCUGGGAACUCUUUUGGUACCUUGCCUCAGCCAGG